AGCGAACGCUGGCGGCAGGCCCAACACAUGCAAGUCGAACGAACUCUUCGGAGUUAGUGGCGGACGGGUGAGUAACACGUGGGAACGUGCCUUUUGGUUCGGAAUAACUCAGGGAAACUUGUGCUAAUACCGAAUGUGCCCUUCGGGGGAAAGAUUUAUCGCCAUUAGAGCGGCCCGCGUCUGAUUAGCUAGUUGGUGAGGUAACGGCUCACCAAGGCGACGAUCAGUAGCUGGUCUGAGAGGAUGACCAGCCACACUGGGACUGAGACACGGCCCAGACUCCCACGGGAGGCAGCAGUGGGGAAUCUUGCGCAAUGGGCGAAAGCCUGACGCAGCCAUGCCGCGUGAAUGAUGAAGGUCUUAGGAUUGUAAAAUUCUUUCACCGGGGACGAUAAUGACGGUACCCGGAGAAGAAGCCCCGGCUAACUUCGU
RNAcentral lists this ribosomal RNA (432 nucleotides) under uncultured bacterium. RNAcentral describes it as "partial 16S ribosomal RNA". It matches the Rfam family "Bacterial small subunit ribosomal RNA", at positions 29 to 506 of the family's 1533-position model. The record is from RNAcentral.